Long non-coding RNA from Homo sapiens (human), 895 nucleotides. RefSeq lists it as uncharacterized. The transcript is spliced from 2 exons. NCBI's taxonomy places the organism in Eukaryota, Metazoa, Chordata, Mammalia, Primates, Hominidae. The record is from RefSeq and is a predicted model, not a curated record.
GCCCUCAACUUGCACUGUUCACCUGUCAGGUUUUAUCUUUCAGGGGUCAGCCAAGCCAGUGGGAAGCCUACGACAUUCCCCUGGGUCACUUAGUGAACUCCUACUCUUUCAUCAGGCCUCACUUGAACAUGACUUCCUCCAGAAGCCUUCCCAGACAUCUUUGAGCUAGAAAGUCAGAAGAGUAGAAUUGGAACCCAGCUCAGUCUGAUGCCACAUCCUUUGUUGUUUCCAUUAAAUCAGAGAAUUUCUUAGUGCUGAGAAACUAUUCUGGAACUUACAACAAAGGCAAGUGGGAAGGGAGUCGCCUGGAAUUUGAUCUCUGUAGAUGCCUUUUUCAUUUAGUUUAUUUUUCAUUUUUAUCUGUUGCUUUGCUCUUAUCAAAUACAGAUAAAUAGCAGCUGCUACUGGUGCUGUUGAUUGCGAUUUCUGUUUGAAAAUGGAAUCUUGAGCAUCUGUUCUCUCCUUUUAUAUUUUACUGUGAGAGAAAAUCUAUUUUUUUCAAAAGGUAAUUCAUACACAUGGUAAAAAUUUAAACAAUAUAAAAACCUAUUUUUAAAAAACAUAUACUCUUGAGUAUUUCUGUGUACUUUGCUUUCAUCACUAAUACAUCUUUAAGUUUAUUCCAUAUUGGUACGCAAAAUACAUAUUUCAUUAUUCUAAUGAUUACAUAUUACUUAAUUCAAUUUGUAAUACAUAAAUGGCAGUUUACUAAUAUAACCAUAUAAAAAGUAAUCUAACAGAAGUUACAAUGUUUUAUCAGGUGAGCACUACACUGUUAUUUUAAUACUUGCCAGUUAAAUCAAGCAAUGUGACUGCUAAAAGUAGAAUUCCCAUACAGUAGGAAAGCACAAUUUAUUUUUAUAAUAAAAGCAAUAAAUGUGUUUAAAAAUUUCAA